Molecule: ribosomal RNA, 253 nt
Filed under: uncultured bacterium
Lineage: Bacteria
Description: partial 16S ribosomal RNA
Rfam family: Bacterial small subunit ribosomal RNA
Source: RNAcentral
UACGUAGGUGGCAAGCGUUACUCGGAAUCACUGGGCGUAAAGCGCAGGUAGGCGGUUUGAUAAGUCUGUUGUGAAAGCUCCCGGCUUAACUGGGAGAGGUCAACGGAAACUGUCAGGCUAGAGUGUGGUAGAGGUAGCUGGAAUUCCCGGUGUAGCGGUGAAAUGCGUAGAUAUCGGGAGGAAUACCUAUGGCGAAAGCAGGCUACUGGACCGGUACUGACGCUGAUGCGCGAAAGCGUGGGGAGCAAACGGG